UACGUAGGGUGCGAGCGUUAAUCGGAAUUACUGGGCGUAAAGCGUGCGCAGGCGGUUAUGUAAGCCAGAUGUGAAAUCCCCGGGCUCAACCUGGGAAUGGCAUUUGGGACUGCAUAGCUAGAGUAUGGCAGAGGAGACUAGAAUUCCUGGUGUAGCAGUGAAAUGCGUAGAUAUCAGGAGGAAUACCGAUGGCGAAGGCAGGUCUCUGGGUCAAUACUGACGCUCAUGCACGAAAGCGUGGGGAGCAAACAGG
Molecule: ribosomal RNA, 253 nt
Filed under: uncultured bacterium
Lineage: Bacteria
Description: partial 16S ribosomal RNA
Rfam family: Bacterial small subunit ribosomal RNA
Source: RNAcentral